GCUGGAAUAGCUCAGUCGGUAGAGCGACGCACUCGUAAUGCGUAGGUCGUCAGUUCAAAUCUGAUUUCCAGCU
Molecule: transfer RNA, 73 nt
Filed under: Diplocloster modestus
Lineage: Bacteria; Bacillati; Bacillota; Clostridia; Lachnospirales; Lachnospiraceae
Also listed under: 2 other names
Description: tRNA-Thr
Rfam family: tRNA
About the family: Transfer RNA (tRNA) molecules are approximately 80 nucleotides in length. Their secondary structure includes four short double-helical elements and three loops (D, anti-codon, and T loops).
Source: RNAcentral